Molecule: ribosomal RNA, 449 nt
Filed under: uncultured bacterium
Lineage: Bacteria
Description: bacterial SSU rRNA
Rfam family: Bacterial small subunit ribosomal RNA
Source: RNAcentral
AACGAACGCUGGCGGCAUGCCUAACACAUGCAAGUCGAACGAAGCCUUCGGGCUUAGUGGCGCACGGGUGCGUAACACGUGAGAAUCUGCCCUUCGGUUCGGAAUAACAGUUAGAAAUGACUGCUAAUACCGGAUGAUGACGUAAGUCCAAAGAUUUAUCGCCGAAGGAUGAGCCCGCGUAGGAUUAGGUAGUUGGUAGGGUAAUGGCCUACCAAGCCGACGAUCCUUAGCUGGUCUGAGAGGAUGAUCAGCCACACUGGGACUGAGACACGGCCCAGACUCCUACGGGAGGCAGCAGUGGGGAAUAUUGGACAAUGGGCGAAAGCCUGAUCCAGCAAUGCCGCGUGAGUGAUGAAGGCCUAGGGUUAUAAAGCUCUUUUACCAGGGAUGAUAAUGACAGUACCUGGAGAAUAAGCUCCGGCUAACUCCGUGCCAGCAGCCGCGGUAAU